GACCAACGCUGGCGGCGUGCUUAACACAUGCAAGUCGAACGGAAAGGCCCUGCUUUUGUGGGGUGCUCGAGUGUCGAACGGGUGAGUAACACGUGAGUAACCUGCCCUUGACUUUGGGAUAACUUCAGGAAACUGGGGCUAAUACCGGAUAGGAGCUCCUGCUGCAUGGUGGGGGUUGGAAAGUUUCGGCGGUUGGGGAUGGACUCGCGGCUUAUCAGCUUGUUGGUGGGGUAGUGGCUUACCAAGGCUUUGACGGGUAGCCGGCCUGAGAGGGUGACCGGCCACAUUGGGACUGAGAUACGGCCCAGACUCCUACGGGAGGCAGCAGUGGGGAAUAUUGCACAAUGGGCGGAAGCCUGAUGCAGCAACGCCGCGUGCGGGAUGACGGCCUUCGGGUUGUAAACCGCUUUCGCCUGUGACGAAGCGUGAGUGACGGUAAUGGGUAAAGAAGCACCGGCUAACUACGUG
RNAcentral lists this ribosomal RNA (468 nucleotides) under uncultured bacterium. RNAcentral describes it as "partial 16S ribosomal RNA". It matches the Rfam family "Bacterial small subunit ribosomal RNA", at positions 28 to 507 of the family's 1533-position model. The record is from RNAcentral.